GACGAACGCUGGCGGCGUGCUUAACACAUGCAAGUCGAACGGUGAUGGGAGCUUGCUUCCUGAUCAGUGGCGAACGGGUGAGUAACACGUGAGCAACCUGCCCUUGACUCUGGGAUAACAGUUGGAAACAGCUGCUAAUACCGGAUACGACCUCCGCGGGCAUCUGUGGGGGUGGAAAGCUUCGACGGUCAAGGAUGGGCUCGCGGCCUAUCAGCUUGUUGGUGAGGUAAUGGCUCACCAAGGCGACGACGGGUAGCCGGCCUGAGAGGGCGACCGGCCACACUGGGACUGAGAUACGGCCCAGACUCCUACGGGAGGCAG
Molecule: ribosomal RNA, 321 nt
Filed under: uncultured Actinomycetes bacterium
Lineage: Bacteria; Bacillati; Actinomycetota; Actinomycetes
Description: bacterial SSU rRNA
Rfam family: Bacterial small subunit ribosomal RNA
Source: RNAcentral